Molecule: ribosomal RNA, 274 nt
Filed under: uncultured bacterium
Lineage: Bacteria
Description: partial 16S ribosomal RNA
Rfam family: Bacterial small subunit ribosomal RNA
Source: RNAcentral
AUACAGAGGGUGCAAGCGUUAUUCGGAAUUACUGGGCGUAAAGCGCGCGUAGGCGGAUGAUUAAGUCAGUUGUGAAAGCCCUGGGCUCAACCUAGGAACUGCAUCUGAUACUGGUCGUCUAGAGUUUAAGAGAGGGAAGUGGAAUUCCAGGUGUAGCAGUGAAAUGCGUAGAUAUCUGGAGGAACAUCAGUGGCGAAGGCAACUUCCUGGCUUAAAACUGACGCUGAGGUGCGAAAGCGUGGGUAGCGAACGGGAUUAGAAACCCUAGUAGUCC